RNAcentral lists this ribosomal RNA (112 nucleotides) under Oryctolagus cuniculus (rabbit). The record is from RNAcentral. Lineage: Eukaryota; Metazoa; Chordata; Mammalia; Lagomorpha; Leporidae.
GUCUACAGCCAUACCACCCUGAAUGUACCCUAUCUUGUCUGAUCUUGGAAGCUAAGCAGGGUUGGGCCUGGUUAGUACUUGGAUGGGAGAGUUUUGCAGGGUACAGUAUUCU